GAUGCCAACGCGCUCCAAUAAUGCAGAGAGUUUGUAUUGAAGUCUCUGAUGGAGACAUAACAUAUGAUCCUAUAAUUUAGAUUCGGAGAGUGACAAUUUGUGAGAAUAUAAAAUAGUGUUUAUAUUUCUUCUUCUUCUUCUUCGAAGCCUAUCAUCUUUUUUAAGUGCAUUUUUUAUUUUAGUUUUUAUCGAUUAUAUAAAUAGAUUAUCCAAAAUUUGUCAGUCUUACUCUCCCAAACAUAUAUUCCAUCAACACCACAUUGUUAACCUUAAAUGAUGAUGGUAGUGAAAAUAAGUAAUAAAUUAGGAAAUGUAGUAUGGAAUUACAUGCUUAAGAAAAUUAACGGAUUGUUUAUCAUCGAUUAAUAUGUUAAUAUAUCGGAAUUGUUAAUGAAAACAGUUUAUUCGUGAUAUUUUUUUUCUCACUUAUUUAUAUAAUAUUUUAUUUGAACCCAUAAAAACACUAUAGCACCAUCAAUCCUCUUUCCUCCCUCCUGUGCAACCAAAGCAAUGCUUUUUCUUUUCUUUUAAUGUUGGAAACAGCUGCAUAUGUGACAUCUCAUAUGGUUUUGUUGACAGAGAUCGAAGAGAACACACAUAAAUUCCAAGAAAACCUACUCUUCUUAACCAACAAAUUUGAUCCUGCAGGAGCUUGGAGGAGACAUGGAAACAGCACCAAGCUUCCUCUGAUCCCAGUGCUUUGGCCAUGGUGAUGCAGAAACAGCCAGUGAAGACAGGAAGGGAUGGAGUCUCGGGGAGCCACCGAUCAUUGGCUACCCCAUGCACUGAUCUGGAGUUUGUGCAAGGGGGAUGUACCAGUCUUUAAGACCUGUCCUUUCAAGUACAUCUGCUGGCUGAAGGCUACUGGUUUUGUCCUGUAAAGUUCUGAUUGAUGCUGAAACCAUUCUCACAUUCUGUUUGGUUCUCAGGAAAGAAUAGUUAUCAUAGGCAGCAAUUUUGGAUAAGAGACCCACAAAUUAAUUUCACUCGCCAGCAUCCUUCUUCUUAUUGUUGCCUUGGGAAAGGGAAUUGCGGCAUCAAACAAUGGCAGCUUAUCAACAAAUAAAUGUCUUGUACAUUAUUUAUAGUUCUUGGCUGUUGAUUUAUAGUUGUUCCACAAAUUAAUGCGAAUCAUGGAUUUCGUUGUUCU
RNAcentral lists this long non-coding RNA (1150 nucleotides) under Musa acuminata (dwarf banana). RNAcentral describes it as "long non-coding RNA (MACU_LNC006578)". Lineage: Eukaryota; Viridiplantae; Streptophyta; Magnoliopsida; Zingiberales; Musaceae. The record is from RNAcentral.